Long non-coding RNA from Xenia sp. Carnegie-2017, 232 nucleotides. RefSeq lists it as uncharacterized. The transcript is spliced from 2 exons. NCBI's taxonomy places the organism in Eukaryota, Metazoa, Cnidaria, Anthozoa, Malacalcyonacea, Xeniidae. The record is from RefSeq and is a predicted model, not a curated record.
GUAGAUGUGUUGGAACAAAAAGAGAUGUUGCCUUUGCGUUAGGGUAGAUGUGUUGGAACAAAAAGAGAUGUUGUCUUUGCGUUAGGGUAGAUGUGUUGGAACAAAAGAGAUGUUGCCUUUGCGUUAGGGUAGAUGUGUUGGGACAAAAAGAGAUGUUGCCUUGCGUUAGGGUAGAUGUGUUGGGACAAAAAGAGAUGUUGCCUUUGCGUUAGGGUAGAUGUGUUGGGACAAA